AGAGUUUGAUCCUGGCUCAGAUUGAACGCUGGCGGCAUGCCUUACACAUGCAAGUCGAACGGCAGCACGGGGGCAACCCUGGUGGCGAGUGGCGAACGGGUGAGUAAUACAUCGGAACGUGUCCUGUAGUGGGGGAUAGCCCGGCGAAAGCCGGAUUAAUACCGCAUACGAUCUACGGAAGAAAGCGGGGGAUCGCAAGACCUCGCGCUAUAGGGGCGGCCGAUGGCAGAUUAGCUAGUUGGUGGGGUAAAGGCCUACCAAGGCGACGAUCUGUAGCUGGUCUGAGAGGACGACCAGCCACACUGGGACUGAGACACGGCCCAGACUCCUACGGGAGGCAGCAGUGGGGAAUUUUGGACAAUGGGGGAAACCCUGAUCCAGCAAUGCCGCGUGUGUGAAGAAGGCCUCCGGGUUGUAAAGCACUUUUGUCCGGAAAGAAAACUUCUUGCCCUAAUACGGUGGGAGGAUGACGGUACCGG
RNAcentral lists this ribosomal RNA (479 nucleotides) under uncultured bacterium. Its description in RNAcentral is "bacterial SSU rRNA". It matches the Rfam family "Bacterial small subunit ribosomal RNA", at positions 8 to 481 of the family's 1533-position model. The record is from RNAcentral.